This 468-nucleotide ribosomal RNA is filed under the name uncultured bacterium. RNAcentral's name for it is "partial 16S ribosomal RNA". It matches the Rfam family "Bacterial small subunit ribosomal RNA", at positions 28 to 507 of the family's 1533-position model. The record is from RNAcentral.
GACGAACGCUGGCGGCGUGCUUAACACAUGCAAGUCGAACGGAAAGGCCCUGCUUUUGUGGGGUGCUCGAGUGGCGAACGGGUGAGUAACACGUGAGUAACCUGCCCCUGACUUUGGGAUAACUUCAGGAAACUGGGGCUAAUACCGGAUAGGAGCUCCUGCUGCAUGGUGGGGGUUGGAAAGUUUCGGCGGUUGGGGAUGGACUCGCGGCUUAUCAGCUUGUUGGUGGGGUAGUGGCUUACCAAGGCUUUGACGGGUAGCCGGCCUGAGAGGGUGACCGGCCACAUUGGGACUGAGAUACGGCCCAGACUCCUACGGGAGGCAGCAGUGGGGAAUAUUGCACAAUGGGCGGAAGCCUGAUGCAGCAACGCCGCGUGCGGGAUGACGGCCUUCGGGUUGUGAACCGCUUUCGCCUGUGACGAAGCGUGAGUGACGGUAAUGGGUAAAGAAGCACCGGCUAACUACGUG